UUAAGCAUAUCACUAAGCGGAGGAAAAGAAACUAACUAGGAUUCCCCCAGUAACUGCGAGUGAAGAGGGAAGAGCUCAUCAUUGGAAUCUGGCAGCGUUGCGCUGUCCGAGUUGUAGAUGAGAAGAGUAGGACAUCUGGACUGCAUGGUGUCCAAGUACAAUAGGCCGUCAGUGGGACAUCAUAGAGGGUGACAAUCCCGUCCUUGACACCAAUGUACGAGUCCUUUACGAUGCCUAUCUCGGAGAGUCGAGCAGUUUGGGAUUUGCUGCUUAAACACGGGAGGUAGAUUCCUUCCAAAGCUAAAUACAGGCAAGAGACCGAUAGUGAACAAGUACCGCAAGGGAAAGAUGAAAUAGAACUCUGUGAAGGGAGUCAAAAAGACGUGAAAUUGUUGCGAGAGAAGCGAUUCAAGUCAGCGUAGCUGGGCCCAUCAAGCCUCGCGCUUUGGACCAGCUUUGCCAGCGGUCUUGUCCCCAGAGACUUGACUAAGGUGCCCUGCCCGGUCUAACGGACAGACCUCCCCGCUGGGGAGGCCAGUGGCAUGGCUGGUGGAAUGGCUUGCAAUCGACCCGUCUUGAAACACGGACCAAGGAGUCUAACAUGUACGCGAGUAUAAGGGUGGCAAACCCGUAUGCGCAAAGAAAGUGAUAGCCUAUGGCUGAGAAUGACCUGACGACCAGACAAGAAACAUCAUGUCCCUCGUACGGUCAUUGCCCAAGUCCCAUGGUCAGAUCCCAUGGACAUGGAGUUGGAGCGUGCAUGCUAGGACCCGAAAGAUGGUGAACUAUGCCUGGACAAAGCGAAGCCAAAGGAAACUCUGGUGGAGGCUUGUAGCGAUUCUGACGUGCAAAUCGAUCGUCUGAUCUG
This 868-nucleotide ribosomal RNA is filed under the name Cantharellus romagnesianus. RNAcentral describes it as "partial large subunit ribosomal RNA". It matches the Rfam family "Eukaryotic large subunit ribosomal RNA", at positions 34 to 913 of the family's 3401-position model. The record is from RNAcentral. Lineage: Eukaryota; Fungi; Basidiomycota; Agaricomycetes; Cantharellales; Hydnaceae.